GUUUUAUAAAUGGGGUAGGGACCAACUGAAAGACAGGAAAAUAAGGCCCUUGAUGCCAUUAAUCUUUUAUCCUCUUGCCCUCAUUGGUAUCUUCAUCCCACCUUGGGUCCCAGUCCCCUCUCCUGUUCCCACACCACCUGUCACAUGCAAGGGAUGAUGGCUGUCUGCUCCUGGGUCUAUGCUUUGUGGAAGAAGGAUGCUGUGGAGGGAGCAUAUCCAAGCUCUAAAGUGGCAUUCUCUCCCACCCUUUGCAGUUCUGCCUCCUGGGGGCAUUGCUGGCCCCCAUCCGAGUGCUUCUGGCCUUUAUCGUCCUCUUUCUCCUCUGGCCCUUUGCCUGGCUUCAAGUGGCCGGUCUUAGUGAGGAGCAGCUUCAGGAGCCAAUUACAGGAUGGAGGAAGUAAGUGAGGGAUCAGCCCCCAGAGACCCUACUUCUCUUCCCUGCUGUCUAUUCGGCUCCCUCUUUGAGAAGAAGAAAAGAGAGCAUUCUGAAACUAUUCUGUCUAGCUUGGGUAGAUGAGAUGAGUCAGCCAAGCUCAGACGUGGUUCCCAGACCUCACCUCUAAGUAAUGUGCCCUGAUAGGUCCCAAAGUGGCCAGAGACCUUGGCCCCUUGGUCACAUCCUAUUUAAGGGUAAAAGAGGGGUGCCCUACUUUCCCGGUGUCUGAACCUGGGGGCGGGUGAGGGUUAGAACCACUGCUUCCGCUGAUACCCAGCCUUGCCCUGGCAGGACUGUGUGCCACAACGGGGUGCUAGGCCUGAGCCGCCUGCUGUUUUUCCUGCUGGGCUUCCUCCGGAUUCGCGUUCGUGGCCAGCGAGCCUCUCGCCUUCAAGCCCCUGUCCUUGUUGCUGCCCCACACUCCACUUUCUUUGACCCCAUUGUUCUGCUGCCCUGUGACCUGCCCAAAGUUGUGUCCCGAGCUGAGAACCUUUCCGUUCCUGUCAUUGGAGGUGAGAGAGUUCAAAGGGGGUGAAGGGCAGGGUGACAACUCUGGGCAAAAAAAGUCAGGAAUGGAGACACUGGAGUGAAGAACUGGCCUCAAAGUGGGGAGGGACUGUUGGCAAGUGAAAUAUAAAUUAACACCAUUAGUCAACCAGUCUUAGAUUCUGAGGGCUGGGACAGAGAGAAGGUGUUGGAGGGAGUUCUGGUCAGUUCUCUAAAAGGACAACUACUAUAAAGGGAUUGUCCCAGGGCAAAGAUAACAGGCCAGGCACGGUGGCUCGCGCCUAUAAUCCCAGCACGUUGGGAGGCCAAGGCGGGCGGAUCACCUGAGGUCGGGAGUUCGAGACCAGCCUGACCAACAUGGAGAAACCCUGUCUCUACUAAAAAUACAAAAAAAGUAGCCGGGCGU
This 1349-nucleotide long non-coding RNA is filed under the name Homo sapiens (human). Its description in RNAcentral is "non-protein coding lnc-GOLGA8A-2:3". Lineage: Eukaryota; Metazoa; Chordata; Mammalia; Primates; Hominidae. The record is from RNAcentral.